AAAAAAAAAAGAGAUGUUGCUUGUGGCUGCGGAGCUGGGACAUUGCGAUUUGCGAUAGCUGAUUGGUGAGGGAUUACCGGAUUGACAACAUGCAGAGCUACGGGAUUGCCAUGUUUGUAAGGUAGGGCGAUGGGCAAAUUAGAACGAAUGAAGGAAAAGAAGAGAUGGGGAGGUAGGGCGAUGCGAUGGUGGUGGUUGGCAGAGGAGAAGGAUCAAAGGUUUGAAAAUAGAGUGGUUACUAGUGAGGUAGGGGCGUCGGAUGGCAAAAG
RNAcentral lists this unclassified non-coding RNA (269 nucleotides) under Hevea brasiliensis (rubber tree). Lineage: Eukaryota; Viridiplantae; Streptophyta; Magnoliopsida; Malpighiales; Euphorbiaceae. The record is from RNAcentral.